GAAGGUGUGGCUCAUUGGUAAGAGUGCCUGCCUGGCAAGCACAGGGACUUGAGUUCAAACCCCAGCACCACCA
Molecule: transfer RNA, 73 nt
Filed under: Dipodomys ordii (Ord's kangaroo rat)
Lineage: Eukaryota; Metazoa; Chordata; Mammalia; Rodentia; Heteromyidae
Rfam family: tRNA
About the family: Transfer RNA (tRNA) molecules are approximately 80 nucleotides in length.
Source: Rfam by way of RNAcentral